UCUCUCCCUCCCUCUCUCUCCCUCUCCCCCUCUCUCUCUCUGCCUCCUCCACUAAUGCUCUUCUUUUACUCUGUAUUGUCAUUCAUUCCAUCAGUCAGGAAGAAGAACCCGUUUGAAUACAACAGGCCUGCCUCCCAAAUGGCACCCUAUUCCCUAUAUAGUGCACUACUUUAGACCAGGGCCCGUAGGGACUAAUAUAGGGAAUAGGGCACCAUUGAGAUACAUGGCAGAAUGGGAUCCUGUGAGAUUGAUAGUGACAUGAAGACAGAAUGCAGGGCAGGACAGAGAAAGGCUUAUUUGCACUUGAAAACAAAAACACUACAGAUUAUUACCAAAACCCUGCCGCCUUCACUGUAGUCUUUAAAGUCCUUCAAUGGCUCUCUCUCUUUCUCUCUGUUCAGAGAGUGGUGUGUGUAACUCCUGGUCUCCACAUUGUGUGUGUGUGCGUGCGAUGUUAAUGAGCUUAAUCUAAUCUGUCUGCUCCACUAUUCCCAGAUUACUGUAAUAUGACCCGUUUGGUGCCGUGUGAUAUGGGAACUACACUAUAUCCCAUAAUGAGGGUUAGCUAACACUGGUGUCGCCAUGGAGAUGUCUCAUUCAGGGAAGUGAGGAGAGGAGGUACCCCAGGGGUUAAAUUGAAGAGGACAGGAUUAGAAUUCGUGUAGAACAGACCAGUAGCUGUAAAACCCACAGGAUUAUCUUUGAAUUGGGAUAGAGGUUCUCUAUUCAUUGUAAUGCUAUGGUACGGAGUCUGGGAGCCCGUUUAAAAGGACCCCUCUUAUAGGACCAUAUUUAGCCUAUUGUGAUGUCAUCAAUUAGGCUUGCGUCAUGUCACUAUGACGUCAUCAGUUAGAAUGUUCAAAGGACUGCGUCAUCACCACAUUGUGAUGUCAUCAGUUAGAGGGUGUGUUCCUCUGUUCAGACGUUGCUGACGCCAGAUCUUACAUCGCCUGGAUAGGUAUUUUACAGAUCAGCUAAACACAUCACAUGCUAAAGCAAUCUGGUGCAACCAGUGGUUGAUGCAUGUGACAUCUGAGCAGAGAGACGCAACCAGAAUGUUUUAACAAAGGAUCACUUCAUCUGGUUGUGAUGUCAUCAGUUGGAAUGUUCUACAAAGGGCUACAUCCAAUUAUGAUGUCAGAAUCCCAGAAUAAAGCACAAUGAGUAAACUGUCACUAUACCCUGAAUCAGAACCUGAAGCAGAUACAGUAUGUGACUUAACCCGUGUCCAAGCUGGCCUGAUGUCGGCCCCAAAUCCUACAGGGAUCCUCUAAGAAUGAGAAGAAGAGGCUUCAGUGCACUUCCUGUUCCUCGUUCCGAAUGUCAUGGGCAGGAAAUGUGCGCUUUACUUACUGGCUUCCAGACAGGCAGAGAGAGGGACAGAUGGGCAGAGAGAAGGGCAGACAGACAAGCAGAGAGAGUGACAGACUGGCAGAGAGAGGGGCAGAGCUUGUCAGAGGGGACACUGUUUAGUCAGUGUGGUUUGGUCGUGGUGGGCCGGCGACCACAGCUGCCUAUAGUGUUGAGGUCAGCCCCUUUUCUCAGAUUUUGGGUAGAGAAAGGAGGUCUCCUCCUGUACCCCUCUAUAGACCCAGACACCCUGAGGUCUCCUCCUGUACCCCUCUAUAGACCCAGACACCCUGAGGUCUCCUCCUCUACCCCUCUAUAGACCCAGACACCCUGAGGUCUCCUCCUCUACCCCUCUAUAGACCCAGACACCCUGAGGUCUCCUCCUGUACCCCUCUAUAGACCCAGACACCCUGAGGUCUCCUCCUGUACCCCUCUAUAGACCCAGACACCCUGAGGUCUCCUCCUGUACCCCUCUAUAGACCCAGACACCCUGAGGUCUCCUCCUCUACCCCUCUAUAGACCCAGACACCCUGAGGUCUCUCCCUCUACCCCUCUAUAGACCCAGACACCCUGAGGUCUCCUCCUCUACCCCUCUAUAGACCCAGACACCCUGAGGUCUCCUCCUGUACCCCUCUAUAGACCCAGACACCCUGAGGUCUCCUCCUCUACCCCUCUAUAGACCCAGACACCCUGAGGUCUCUCUCCUCUCUCUCUCUCUCUACACUACAACAGUAAUUUAGUAGCCUACUGUAGUGGGAUCUGUCUCUGUAUCCACAGCAUCUGAGUUGGAGUGCUGAUCCAGGAUUAGGUUCCAACCUGUCCAUAUAAUUUGAUUCAUUAUGAGCUAAAAGGCAAAACUGAUCCUACAUUAUGAAUCACUCCAUACUAGAUCUACUCUGAGAAGCUUUGAGGAUACAGGCCGAGUCCCCCAGUCCUGGUGGCUAAACUGAUCCCAGAUCAGUACUGCUGCUCUGAGAAGCUUUGUGGAAACAGGCCCAGUCCCCCAGUCCUAGUGGCUAAACUGAUCCUGGAUCAGCACUGCUGCUCUGAGAAGCUUUGUGGAUACAGGCCCAGUCCCCCAGUCCUGGUGGCUAAACUGAUCCCAGAUCAGCACUGCUGCUCUGAGAAGCUUUGAGGAUACAGGCCCAGUCCCCCAGUCCUGGUGGCUAAACUGAUCCUAGAUCAGCACUGCUGCUCUGAGAAGCUUUGAGGAUACAGGCCCAGUCCCCCAGUCCUGGUGGUUAAACUGAUCCUAGAUCAGCACUGCUGCUCUGAGAAGCUUUGUGGAUACCCAGGCCCCCAGUCCUGGUGGCUAAACUGAUCCUAGAUCAGCACUGCUGCUCUGAGAAGCUUUGAGGAAACAGGCCCAGUCCCCCAGUCCUGGUGGCUAAACUGAUCCUAGAUCAGCACUGCUGCUCUGAGAAGCUUUGAGGAUACAGGCCCAGUCCCCCAGUCCUGGUGGCUAAACUGAUCCUAGAUCAGCACUGCUGCUCUGAGAAGCUUUGUGGAUACAGGCCCAGUCCCCCAGUCCUGGUGGCUAAACUGAUCCCAGAUCAGCACUGCUGCUCUGAGAAGCUUUGAGAAGCUUUGAGGAUACAGGCCCAGUCCCCCAGUCCUGGUGGCUAAACUGAUCCCAGAUCAGCACUGCUGCUCUGAGAAGCUUUGAGGAUACAGGCCCAGUCCCCCAGUCCUGGUGGCUAAACUGAUCCCAGAUCAGCACUGCUGCUCUGAGAAGCUUUG
Molecule: long non-coding RNA, 3090 nt
Organism: Oncorhynchus tshawytscha (Chinook salmon)
Lineage: Eukaryota; Metazoa; Chordata; Actinopteri; Salmoniformes; Salmonidae
Source: Ensembl